GCACCCGUUCCCAUUCCGAACACGGCCGUGAAACGCCCCAGCGCCGAUGGUACUUCGUCUUAAGACGCGGGAGAGUAGGUCGCUGCCAGGU
Molecule: ribosomal RNA, 91 nt
Filed under: Ensifer sp. Root278
Lineage: Bacteria; Pseudomonadati; Pseudomonadota; Alphaproteobacteria; Hyphomicrobiales; Rhizobiaceae
Source: RNAcentral